RNAcentral lists this ribosomal RNA (461 nucleotides) under uncultured bacterium. Its description in RNAcentral is "partial 16S ribosomal RNA". It matches the Rfam family "Bacterial small subunit ribosomal RNA", at positions 338 to 795 of the family's 1533-position model. The record is from RNAcentral.
CCUACGGGUGGCAGCAGUGAGGAAUAUUGGUCAAUGGGCUUACGCCUGAACCAGCCAAGUCGCGUGAGGGAAGAAUGUCCUAUGGGUUGUAAACCUCUUUUGUCAGGGAGCAAUUGGCGCUACGAGUAGCGUUAUCGAGAGUACCUGAAGAAAAAGCAUCGGCUAACUCCGUGCCAGCAGCCGCGGUAAUACGGAGAUUGCGGGCGUUAUCGGGAUUUAUUGGGUUUAAGGGGGGCGUAGGCCGCAUGUCAAGCGUGCGGGGAAAUGUCCGGGCUCAACCCGGGCCUUGCAGCGCGAACUGGCGGGCUUGAGUCCGCGGAAAGCAUGCGGAAUGCGUGGUGUAGCGGUGAAAUGCUUAGAUAUGACGAAGAACCCCGAUUGCGAAGGCAGCUUGCUGCAUCCGAACUGACGCUGAGGCUCGAAAGCGCGGGUAUCGAACAGGAUUAGAUACCCGUGUAGUC